AAGAAUCUCAUUGUUUGAAGUAAUAUAUGAAUAGAACAAUGUCAUUCAAAUCGUAUGGUUUCAAAUUGAUCUUAUAUUCCUUUUUUCCGAAAUAAUAUUUAUCCAAAAAUAAGAGAAAUUUUAAAAAACAAUUUUUAGUAAAAGACAAGUUCACUUGUCAUCGAAAAUUUCGGAAAUCAUACACCAUACAUAGUAUUAAAUUUCGAAACCAUAUUUUGGAUUUUCGGAUGUUCGGAUGUUCAGAAAGUGCCGUCACACAACAUUUUUUUUCUUGACGUCAUCGAUCUAUAGCAAUCGUCGACGACGAAAUUCAGCUAGUCGAAUUCCGCAGUCUGGAAACAACCGCGUAGUAGAGAGGACGUAUGGGAAUCGCGCUCCGCAGAUUUCGAGUACCCGGUUCUCUACCUCCUGGAUCCUGUGCUCCGGGUCCGCUACCUGGUGAAACUCGACCUCCAGGACAAGCGCUCCGUAGUUUCUGCGCUCCAGGUACGCUACCUGGUGACCCAUGAUCUUCAGGACUAAUUUUCCGUAGUUCUAGCUGUCCAAGUUCUCCACUCGGUGAAACUUGACCUCCAGGACAAGGGCUCCGUGAUUCCUGCGCUCCAGGUAUUGGAAAAAUUACGUGUGUCACACGUGUGGAUAGGAGAAACAGGACUCGUGGAGAUUGCGCAUGCUACUUUAUUGCAAAAAUGAUCGACUAUAACGAGAACGAUCAUCUGUCAUCGGCUCGCGAGUUUAUACUCUAAAAAAUAAGACACGAUACUUCCGCCAUUCUCCGUUGGCGCAUAUACUUGAAAUCUGAAGGUGAUCUGCUACACGCGGCGUGUAAGAAAAACACUGAAGAACCCAAUCGAAGGAUAACCACGGUGAACUGUGGAUAUACAUUAUACUAAACGCUACGCAUUUGCGUAAAACGGUCAAAGAAUUGCGUGCGUACUGCGGCUGCCGGUCAAUAAAUGUAACCAUGAGAAUUACGCUGUUUAAUUGCUCGAGAGGCUCAGAGUACGUGCGCUUUUCAGCUAUUCCUUUACUUAAACAAACUAUUAUGACUUGCACCUAAUACGUACUUACACAUCAUAUGCACCAUGCGCAUUAACAGGGGAAUGCAUACACAUGUGCAGAAUGUUGCCCAACGCUGAUUGAUAUGUAAAACGUCGAACAUAGUCAUCAGCCUUGACAGUCCUUUGAAAUUGAAAUUCUGUCACUAUACUUCUGCAUAUCCCAUAUACCUACAUGUGUGCGUACCGACCCAUACGUGUGAUCACUGACACUGACCCACUUUACUAAGGUAUACCAAUUUGUUCUUGCCUCACAGACUUGUCUUAAAUCAUCGCUAUAGGUAUAUCACAGAGUAUUCAGUAUUAAAAAAUUAAUAACAGUAUAUUACAAAAGUUUUUUAUUUUUCGCAAAACAACUUUCGUCUCAUAAAACUACAUUUUUUAUGUCUCGGUUCCAUCACAUGAUAUAUACGCCUUGGUCUGAGCGUAUUGCAUUAUCGCAUAGAUGCUUAAUUACUUGUGUAAUUUCUUAAAGAGUGUAUUUCAACGACCUCGAAUUUCCCAAUUUUCUCUUCGGCAUGGCCGAUACGCCAUCAAUUACGUCUGAUAUCCAAUGACAGCGGCCUCGUGCUCCUAGCAGACUUUUAAUCCCAUUCGGGUACGUAGAUUAGGCUACGUAUCCUCAGGCGUAUCUCAACUCCAUUCGAGCAUUUUCCCUGUACAUCUAUCCUACGUAAGUACCUGUAUUGUACUAUAAUAAUCACAUUUUUAUCUUAUUCCAAUGAUAAGCUGUGUGGGGAAAAAUUCUAAUCAAGUGAUUUUUAUUCUCGCUUUCGUGAAGGUAUUUGUAAUUUCGGAAUAAAUUAUUGGUUGCUUUUUACUUUUCAUCAUUCGUAGUGAUAUAGGGACAGUAUUAGUCUCGGUGGAAAAGGACUUUAUCUAAUGCCAAUGAAUGAUGACGUUUUCAUACUUCUAUGAGUAUCCGAAAAACAGAUUUUUAGAAAAACGUCGGUCUGUCUGUAUGGCCGGACGAAUUCUGGCGAUGAUUUCGGAAAGUGCUGGAUAAAAAAAUCAGAAAUUCGGACGUCUCUACAUUCAAAUGAGUGGUUAAAAAAUUGACAUGUGUUAUUUUUUGUCCUUAUGUCUCAAUCCAAAUAAAAUCAAAAUGCGAAAAAUUCGAAGCACUCCGACACAGUUUACGAGACGUUGAUAAAAAGUAUUAUACAAUUUAUUUCAAAACGUAUUAACUAGUGUAUUAGUAUAUAAACAAUUUGAUGAAAAAUAGAGAAACUAUUUUAUGAAAAAUAAGAGUGUUAGCGACAAAAUAUUUUGGUCAUGCAUGAUGGUACUUCCAGUAAACGGAUUGGUUUGCAAAGUGACGAAAGGUACCGCUAAGAAUAUGAUUUUUACGGCUUAUAUUCUCGUUAUUUCAGCGGUAUGAGCAAAGAUCAUGUCUUUUUGAAAGAAUAUUUUUUAUGCAGUG
Neodiprion fabricii is the source of this 2481-nucleotide RNA transcript. RefSeq lists it as uncharacterized. The record is from RefSeq and is a predicted model, not a curated record. Lineage: Eukaryota; Metazoa; Arthropoda; Insecta; Hymenoptera; Diprionidae. The transcript has 3 exons.